This 72-nucleotide transfer RNA is filed under the name Toxocara canis (dog roundworm). It matches the Rfam family "tRNA". Rfam says of the family: Transfer RNA (tRNA) molecules are approximately 80 nucleotides in length. Their secondary structure includes four short double-helical elements and three loops (D, anti-codon, and T loops). Lineage: Eukaryota; Metazoa; Nematoda; Chromadorea; Rhabditida; Toxocaridae. The record is from Rfam by way of RNAcentral.
AUGACAGUAGCUCAGUGGUAGAGCUCCAGCUUCAUACGCGGGAAGACCUGGGCUGGACUCCCGGCUGCUUUC